UACGUAGGGGGCAAGCGUUAUCCGGAUUUACUGGGUGUAAAGGGUGCGUAGGUGGCUGAGUAAGUCAGAUGUGAAAACCCGGGGCUUAACUCCGGGACUGCAUUUGAAACUGCCUGGCUAGAGUGCAGGAGAGGUAAGUGGAAUUCCUAGUGUAGCGGUGAAAUGCGUAGAUAUUAGGAGGAACACCAGUGGCGAAGGCGGCUUACUGGACUGUAACUGACACUGAGGCACGAAAGCGUGGGGAGCAAACAGG
Molecule: ribosomal RNA, 253 nt
Filed under: uncultured bacterium
Lineage: Bacteria
Description: partial 16S ribosomal RNA
Rfam family: Bacterial small subunit ribosomal RNA
Source: RNAcentral